Molecule: non-coding RNA, 178 nt
Organism: Caenorhabditis elegans
Lineage: Eukaryota; Metazoa; Nematoda; Chromadorea; Rhabditida; Rhabditidae
Source: Ensembl
GGAACAACAUCAUUACCGACAGGAAACACUGCCGAGAUGGCUCUACUCUUGUGAAAUGGAAUGCAAGUUGAGAGAUGCAAAAGGAAGGAAACGGGAGAUGGAAGAGAGAGGGUAGGAUGUCUAAAAGGUGUCCGGAAACUGAACCUCCCUCGCAUUUCCAACGUGAAAACAAAAGGUG